This 117-nucleotide non-coding RNA is filed under the name Pan paniscus (pygmy chimpanzee). RNAcentral also lists the same sequence under 1 other name. Lineage: Eukaryota; Metazoa; Chordata; Mammalia; Primates; Hominidae. The record is from Rfam by way of RNAcentral.
GCCAGGUGCAGUGGCUUACGCCUGUAAUCCCAGCACUUUGGGAGGCUGAGGCGGGUGGAUCACCUGAGGUCAGGAGUUCAAGACCAGCCUGGCCAACAUGGUGAAACCCCGUCUCUA